RNAcentral lists this ribosomal RNA (481 nucleotides) under uncultured bacterium. RNAcentral's name for it is "bacterial SSU rRNA". It matches the Rfam family "Bacterial small subunit ribosomal RNA", at positions 15 to 507 of the family's 1533-position model. The record is from RNAcentral.
GAUCAUGGCUCAGGAUGAACGCUAGCGGCAGGCUUAAUACAUGCAAGUCAAGGGGGUAGCAAUACAACCGGCGCACGGGUGAGUAACGCGUACGCAACAUACCAUAUACUGGAGUAUAGCUUUGGGAAACUGAAGGUAAUCCUCCAUAACAUUGCGAGAGGGCAUCUGAUUGCAAUUAAAGUUCCGACGGUAUAUGAUUGGUGUGCGUUUGAUUAGCUAGUUGGUAGGGUAACGGCCUACCAAGGCGACGAUCAAUAGCUGGCGUGAGAGCGCGACCAGCCACACUGGAACUGAGACACGGUCCAGACUCCUACGGGAGGCAGCAGUAGGGAAUAUUGGACAAUGGGCGAAAGCCUGAUCCAGCCAUGCCGCGUGAUAGAUGAAGGCCCUCUGGGUUGUAAAUAUCUUUUAUCUGGGAAGAAACUCCUCUAUUCUUAGAGGCCUGACGGUACCAGAGGAAUAAGCACCGGCUAACUCCGUG